ACCCGCUGAACUUAAGCAUAUCAAUAAGCGGAGGAAAAGAAACCAACAGGGAUUGCCUCAGUAACGGCGAGUGAAGCGGCAACAGCUCAAAUUUGAAAUCUGACUUUCGGGUCCGAGUUGUAAUUUGUAGAGGAUGUUUCGGGUAAGAUCUAGGUCUAAGUUCCUUGGAACAGGACGUCAUAGAGGGUGAGAAUCCCGUACGUGGCCGAGGAUCGCACCCAUGUGAAACUCCUUCGACGAGUCGAGUUGUUUGGGAAUGCAGCUCAAAAUGGGUGGUAAAUUUCAUCUAAAGCUAAAUAUUGGCCAGAGACCGAUAGCGCACAAGUAGAGUGAUCGAAAGAUGAAAAGCACUUUGAAAAGAGAGUUAAACAGUAUGUGAAAUUGUUGAAAGGGAAGCGCUUGCAACCAGACUUGUUUGUAGGGUUCAGCCGUCGUUUUCGUCGGUGUAUUUCCCUGCUAUCAGGCCAGCAUCGGUUUGGGUGGAAGGUUAAAGGCCUGGGGAAUGUAGCACUCUUCGGGGUGUCUUAUAGCCCUGGGUGUCAUGCUUCCUACCCGGACCGAGGAACGCGCUUCGGCUCGGAUGCUGGCGUAAUGGUUCUAAGCGACCCGUCUUGAAACACGG
This 622-nucleotide ribosomal RNA is filed under the name uncultured fungus. RNAcentral describes it as "eukaryotic LSU rRNA". It matches the Rfam family "Eukaryotic large subunit ribosomal RNA", at positions 23 to 664 of the family's 3401-position model. The record is from RNAcentral. Lineage: Eukaryota; Fungi.